Molecule: ribosomal RNA, 1167 nt
Filed under: Laliostoma labrosum
Lineage: Eukaryota; Metazoa; Chordata; Amphibia; Anura; Mantellidae
Description: partial 16S ribosomal RNA
Rfam family: Bacterial large subunit ribosomal RNA
Source: RNAcentral
UGGUCUAGCCAGUUCAACCGAGCAAAACGAACUUUAGUUUGACCUCCCGAAACUAAGUGAGCUACUUCGAAACAGCUUUUAGAGCCAACCCGUCUCUGUGGCAAAAGAGUGGGAAGAUUUCCAAGUAGCGGUGACAGACCUACCGAACUUAGAGAUAGCUGGUUGCUUAAGAAAAGAAUAUUAGUUCUACCUCAAGCCCCCAAAUUACGCUUAAAAACAUAUAAGACUUGAGAGCUAUUCAAAUAAGGCACAGCUUAUUUGAAACAGGGUACAACCUUAACUAACGGGUAAUAUAAUUUCUCAUUAACAAGUGGGCCUAAAAGCAGCCACCUUUAAAAAAGCGUUAAAGCUUAGUCACCUUUGCUACUUUAAUUCCCAAAACAUUUUAAACCCUUUACCACUAUUAAGUAACUCCAUAAACCUAUGGAAGAUAUUAUGCUAGAACUAGUAACAAGAAAUAGAAUUUCUCCUAAAUGUAAGCUUAAGCCACAAUUGACAAACUACUGGCAAUUAACGGUCAUGAACCCCGUGUACCAACAUAACAAGAAAACCUUACACCCCCUACCGUUAACCUUACACCAGGACAUUUAUGGAAAGAUUAAAAGAGAAAGAAGGAACUCGGCAAAUUUUAACCUCGCCUGUUUACCAAAAACAUCGGCUCUUGCUAAAUCAUAAGAGGUCCAGCCUGCCCAGUGAUUUUAUUCAACGGCCGCGGUACCCUAACCGUGCGAAGGUAGCAUAAUCACUUGUUCUUUAAAUGGGGACUUGUAUCAACGGCAUCACGAGGGUUAUACUGUCUCCUUUCUCCAAUCAGUGAAACUGAUCUCCCCGUGAAGAAGCGGGGAUGCUUAUAUAAGACGAGAAGACCCCAUGGAGCUUUAAACCCAAUUGCACCUCGCCCAUAUUACACCCUCUUAACUAGCGAGUCCUGUCUCUUGGUUUUAGGUUGGGGUGACCACGGAGCACAAAAACACCUCCGAGAUGAAUGGGGCUCCCUUAUCUAAGAGCUACCUCUCUAAGAAUUAGUAUUCUAACAUAAAAUGAUCCGAUUUUCGAUCAACGAACCAAGUUACCCUGGGGAUAACAGCGCAAUCCACUUCAAGAGCCCCUAUCGACAAGUGGGUUUACGACCUCGAUGUUGGAUCAGGGUAUCCCAGCGGUGCAGCA